RNAcentral lists this ribosomal RNA (253 nucleotides) under uncultured bacterium. RNAcentral describes it as "partial 16S ribosomal RNA". It matches the Rfam family "Bacterial small subunit ribosomal RNA", at positions 524 to 776 of the family's 1533-position model. The record is from RNAcentral.
UACGUAGGGUGCAGGCGUUAAUCGGAAUUACUGGGCGUAAAGCGUGCGCAGGCGGUCUUUUAAGUCAGAUGUGAAAUCCCCGGGCUUAACCUGGGAACUGCGUUUGAAACUGGAAGGCUUGAGUGUGGCAGAGGGGGGUGGAAUUCCACGUGUAGCAGUGAAAUGCGUAGAGAUGUGGAGGAACACCGAUGGCGAAGGCAGCCCCCUGGGCUGAGAUUGACGCUCAGGCACGAAAGCGUGGGGAGCAAACAGG